CAUUGGCAGAGAGACUACCUUAAUACAAUGGGAGGAAGCGAUGAACAAACUGCGGUGCAUUCACACAACAGCGGUGCUACACAGCAGCGAAGAGGAGCAGCCGACUGACACGCACAACAACUCGGAUCUCAGGAGCAUCGCACCGAGCUGGAGAAGCCAGACACGAGCCGCUGCACACCGUAUGAUUCCAUGGCAUUCUGGGAAAGGCAAAACUCCAAGCACAGAGAACGCAUGAGUUGUUGCCCAGGUUUGGGGUUCCAGGAAGAGGAUGGAUUACUAAGAAGCACAGGGGAAUGUUUUGGGGUGAUGAAAAUGUUGUAUGUCUUGUCUUUUUCUUUUCUUUUUGUGAAACAGAGUUUCACUCUUGUCGUCCAGGCUGGAGAGCAAUGGUGUGAUCUCAGCUCACUGCAACCUGCACCUCCCAGGUUCAAGCAAUUCUCCAGCCUCAGCCUCUUGAAUAACUGAGAUUACAGGCACAUGCCUCCCCGCCCAGCUAAUUUUUGUAUUUUUAGUAGAGACGGGUUUUCACCAUGUUGGUCAGGCUGGUCUUGAACUCCUGACCUCAGGUGAUCCGCCCACCUCAGCCUCCCAAAGUGCUGGGAUUACAGGCAUGAGGCACCACAUUCGGCCAAAGUUCUAUGUCUGGUCACAGCCAUUUACAUUCAUCAGAAUUCACAGAACCAUCCAUCCUGAAGUGGUGAAUUUGCUGAAUAGAAAUUAUACCUCAAAGACCAGACGUUCAAAAAUGCCUUUGUGUUUUGUAAGCUUCAACACUCGCCCAGUGGGAACCACAAAAGCGUUGCCCAAUUUGUUGAAAGCAUUGCUGUUAUAACUUCAGCGUGUGGGGAGAAGUUAUGUUUUCAUACUGUCUUUGUCUGCUCUGGCCACCGUUACAAAACACCAUAGACUGGGUGGACUGAUCAACACGCAUUUCUUUCCCACAGUGGAGGCUGGAAGUCCCCAAGACCCAGGUUCCUGGGGAGGGCUUUCUUCCUAGCCUGCAGGUGACCAACAUCUGCUGUGUCCUCUUGUGACUCUUCCUCAGUUCCUGUGCCAGAGGGGUCGGGGGACAAGUGGGCGUCCAUCUUGUAAGUGUCCUCAUAAGGCCACCAUCCUGUCAACCAGGGCACCACCCUAUACCUUAGUUAACCUUAAUGACUUCCUUGGUGGCCCCCCGUCCCGUUGCAGCCAGGGUUAAGCUUCAGCGUGCAAAGUGAAAGGCCACACAAAUCUUUGUCCGUAACAAAUGCCCCGUGGACAGGACACUCCGGUGCCCUGAGGCUGCAGGAGCUGAGGGUGAUCUUGCUCAGGUACUUCUGGUGGUACCUGCUGUAUGGGGAAGAAGUCUGUUCCUCCUGGCUGGUGUCAGAAGUAACCAGGCUGAAGCCAUGCUCUGAAAGAACCUGUGCAGGGAGAGAAAGACCUGUUUGAGACCGACCUGAAAGCUCUCGCAGGGGAAAGAACAGCUGCCUCACUCUAGUAUUCUGGAUGUGAUUUGGGGUCCAGUGAGAUGCACUGACUAAUAUCUGCAGUGUACAAUGCAGGCAGCAGCAGCGCCAGCUAAAGCUGAGCUCUGGUAGAGUUGGAUUGGAUGUUUACAGUGACCUACCUCUUCAGUGUGAUAUUUCCUCACGGUCAUCAGCUACAGGCUGUGAGACAGCCUGGGGGAGACAGGAUAGCCAUGUUUCCCACUACCUCCCAACCACUGGCUGGUGCACCAGCCUCCUGGCCUUAGGUCGCAGCCACAGUGACGUGACCUCCUACAAUCCCUGGCAAGCUGGAGGAGCAGCCCUGCAACCAAGCCUGCUCUAAGAAAAGGCUUUCUGUUUACUAACCUGGAGCUGCUCUAUUCUUUCACCCUUGUUCCCCUUUCAGCUGUCUCGCGCAAGUACUAAUUUUGCCAUUAAAUACGCAUUUUGUUUUGCAAAAUGAGAAGAGCUUAUAAAUACUUCAAAUUUUCUCCGUCUGUUUCAC
Molecule: long non-coding RNA, 1974 nt
Filed under: Homo sapiens (human)
Lineage: Eukaryota; Metazoa; Chordata; Mammalia; Primates; Hominidae
Description: non-protein coding lnc-PRSS55-1:4
Source: RNAcentral